GAUGAACGCUGGCGGCGUGCCUAAUACAUGCAAGUCGAGCGAACGGACGAGAAGCUUGCUUCUCUGAUGUUAGCGGCGGACGGGUGAGUAACACGUGGAUAACCUACCUAUAAGACUGGGAUAACUUCGGGAAACCGUAGCUAAUACCGGAUAAUAUUUUGAACCGCAUGGUUCAAAAGUGAAAGACGGUCUUGCUGUCACUUAUAGAUGGAUCCGCGCUGCAUUAGCUAGUUGGUAAGGUAACGGCUUACCAAGGCAACGAUGCAUAGCCGACCUGAGAGGGUGAUCGGCCACACUGGAACUGAGACACGGUCCAGACUCCUACGGGAGGCAGCAGUAGGGAAUCUUACGCAAUGGGCGAAAGCCUGACGGAGCAACGCCGCGUGAGUGAUGAAGGUCUUCGGAUCGUAAAACUCUGUUAUUAGGGAAGAACAUAUGUGUAAGUAACUGUGCACAUCUUGACGGUACCUAAUAAGAAAGCCACGGCUAACUACGUG
This 497-nucleotide ribosomal RNA is filed under the name uncultured bacterium. RNAcentral's name for it is "partial 16S ribosomal RNA". It matches the Rfam family "Bacterial small subunit ribosomal RNA", at positions 28 to 507 of the family's 1533-position model. The record is from RNAcentral.